RNAcentral lists this long non-coding RNA (1305 nucleotides) under Elaeis guineensis (African oil palm). RNAcentral's name for it is "long non-coding RNA (EGUI_LNC081135)". The record is from RNAcentral. Lineage: Eukaryota; Viridiplantae; Streptophyta; Magnoliopsida; Arecales; Arecaceae.
ACCCACUUAAAAAAAUGAACUCAUCCACUGCUGCCGUUACUUCUCCAAUAUCAGAAAUUUCCGACAAGUUAAAGACAAAACCAGAAAAUCCAACAUAGUAACAAGAACCAAAAAUAGGCCCCUAGAACACUACCAACUUCAUAAAAUCCCAUGACUACUUCACCAACUAGCCACACACCAUUGGAAAGAACAAUUUGGCAGGAAAAAACAGAGGAAGGAGGGAGGGAGGGACGGAGAGAGACCAACCUAUGGCAGAACAGCAGAUAAUUACGGCACAAAUCACCCUUCUAACCAUCUCAGAGACCGUGGAGAUGUAGCUGCCACUUCUCCUUUCUCCCUAGAACGCAGAAGAAUGAGUAACAGAAGGGGAAGAGGAAGAGGAAGGGGUAGAAGAAGAAGCAGUGACCACCAAAGACUAAAAUCUCGAAAAAAAUUAAAAAGAAAGAACAUAAUCUUCCCAUUUGACUCAAAGUUCCAGGAAAACAACACAACAUACAUAGACAUGCACCCAAAAACUCAACUUCAAAUUCCUUCAAGCUUAAAACGAGAAUAAGUGAUUACAUUACCAUGCUUUCAGGUAAAAAUAUUGCAUUUCCACAGAAACCCGAGAAUAAGAACAAAAAAACCAGGUUUUUCCCCAAAAUCCCAAUUCCAGGCAUCAAUUGUGGGCAGAAAAUCAAGGAACCAACAAUAGAUAGGCAAUGAUCCAGAUCAUAUAAACAGAUAUGAUAAAGAUAAAAAGCCGAGUCUUUGCAUGAUUGCUUCCUUCAAAGCUCCCAAAUAGAUCAGUUUCUGUGCAUGACUGACGUACCAGGUGUAGAGUUCGUGGCAGCAGAGACGAUCGGCCGCCGGCGGGGCGGCGCCCGCCUCUGCUUCCAAUCCGGCGUCACCACAACAACAGCUGGCUCCGCCACCGAUCGUCAGUUGCGAACCAUUUGGAUCCACGAAGGAGGCCCCCAAUUUCCUCCUUCCACGCCAUUCUACGGGGAACGGCAAUUAGGGUUUAAGAGCUCGCAGACGGACCACGGGAUGGAGUCGAUGGUGUGGCGCGAGGAGGUGCAAUAAUGAAUACUGCAGGAACUUGGAUGUAGAUUUACAAUUGUCAGGGGGUUAGGAUUAAAAAUCCCUUGGCACUAAUUUUGCACGAAACCCCGCAAAUAGUUCCUCAUUAACAUUCCAAAUAAUACUUAUAACUGCCAGAAUAAGAUGAAGUUAAAAGUGUUUCAUGUUAAGUUACUCGUAAAUCCGGCGGAAACCGUCGGAACUAGUUUCAGUAAUAAUAUUAUUUUAUUUUAUUUUUUUUUU